UACGGAGGGUGCGAGCGUUGUUCGGAAUCAUUGGGCGUAAAGGGCGUGUAGAUGGUCUGUUAAGUCAUGUGUGAAAGCCCUCAGCUUAACUGGGGAAGUGCGCAUGAAACUGACAGGCUAGAGUACCGAAGAGGAAGGUGGAAUUCCCGGUGUAGCGGUGAAAUGCGCAGAUAUCGGGAAGAACACCCGUGGCGAAGGCGGCUCUCUGGGACGGUACUGACGCUGAGACGCGAAAGCGUGGGGAGCGAACGGG
This 253-nucleotide ribosomal RNA is filed under the name uncultured bacterium. RNAcentral's name for it is "partial 16S ribosomal RNA". It matches the Rfam family "Bacterial small subunit ribosomal RNA", at positions 524 to 776 of the family's 1533-position model. The record is from RNAcentral.